This is a long non-coding RNA of Lathyrus oleraceus (garden pea), 802 nucleotides long. RefSeq lists it as uncharacterized. The transcript has 2 exons. The record is from RefSeq and is a predicted model, not a curated record. NCBI's taxonomy places the organism in Eukaryota, Viridiplantae, Streptophyta, Magnoliopsida, Fabales, Fabaceae.
GUAUGUCGUUGAGAGAGUUGUAAACGUUCACGUACCCUAAACUGUUUGUUGUUGUUCACUCUUAAACACAAGCUUUAGCCGUCCGCCGCCAUCUUCAACAUAAACUUUAGCCAUCCGAUGUCGUCUUCCUUGCAGUUGGGCACAUGUUUUUCUGUCUCCAACACAAAAGCCAAAGUAUGAUUAGGUGCUGAAAAAUCAGGUCGAAAUUGUGGUGUUUGAGGCUUCAAUUACUUUUGAUUGUUGCUCUAAGAGAAGCUAAGGUGAUUACACCAACAUGAGUUAUAUAUGUUGCUGUAUGGAUUAUUGUACUUCUGGUUGCCCAUAUAAUUAACAAAAAUUGGGUUUAGUGACCAUUCUUCAGUCAGAUGGGUUCCUUCAUAAUAAACACACAACUUCAGCAACAUCAGUCACAACCUUGACAUGUUCAGCAUGUGGCAUGUCAUAAGGCGUAAACAUAUUUUUCGUGAUUUCGUGAAUUUGAGCCAGUUAAGCAACUAGAAUUAUGGUCUUAAUGACUUUAUGAACACCAACUGGCUUCCUUGGGACUAUAGUUGUGAAUGCUCUAGUGACUAGUAUUAUACCACAAUUUCGAUCGGGCAUUUUAAAAACUUUCAUACACCUGACUUUACUUCACUUUGUAUCAUCUGCAUAGUAUGACAUGCAUUUUCUCACAUAUAAUGCCUAAAAUAUCGACCAGAAUAAAUUUCUGGAUCUACAGACAGACCAGUUGAAUCAAUUUUCAAAUGUACGCAAAAUUAGCGGGCGAAAAGUUUUGAAUUUGAGUUUGCAAACAUUAGUUUUA